RNAcentral lists this long non-coding RNA (1723 nucleotides) under Salvia miltiorrhiza (redroot sage). RNAcentral describes it as "long non-coding RNA (SMIL_LNC006957)". Lineage: Eukaryota; Viridiplantae; Streptophyta; Magnoliopsida; Lamiales; Lamiaceae. The record is from RNAcentral.
AGAUCGAGAAAGUUAAGCUGCGAGAGUUUGGAAAUGGCUUGUGGGAUUUUGCCGGUGGCGUUGCAGGCGUGGAUGGUUAGGUCUUGGAGGUAGGGGAGGUCGCCAAUGGCGGCCGGAAUAGGGAGAUGGAGAUCGGUUUGGGCGAGGACAAAUUCGGUAAUUCGGUUGGUUUUGUCGUCGCAUUUCACCACGUACCAGUGGUCGCAGCAGUCGGUUUUGGGAUCCCAAGAGAUGAGGAAGUAAGGGUCGUUGAGGUCUUUCUUGAUCUGAAGGAGGGUAUUCUUGUCAUUUGGGUGGCACCUCUCUGUGAAUGAGACCGAGAGAAAGGAAAUAGAAAUGAGGAAGAGGAGAGGAAGAUGGGAAGAAGCCAUGGAUUGGAAUUUGAAUUUUGGAUAAUGGUAAUAGUGUGACAACUAUCCGAAAAAUGCCCCAAUUUAUAUUUGUCAAACCUAUUAUAAAACGAAGGGAAAACUUGUAUACGGCCAAUAUAAAAACAGUACCAAUCAUGGACCUUUAAAUAAAGUAUAAAUAAAUCAUGUAGCCCUUUACAUAUUUCUUUUUAAGUUUAUUCUUUUUGGCAUUAUAUUUAUGCAGUAUAGAACUUCGUUAACGGAAUUUUGGUUCAAGAUUGAAUUUUUAUUCCAUAACAAUAAUAAUAGGCAACAUCACACAUUACAUAUCAAAUCUUAAACAACAUUAAAAUUUGACACCAAUCAUUUGCAGUUGGGCAAAGGUUUACCACACAAGCACUUGUUGUGAAAGAAGACGGUGGAAUCGAGUUCCUGCAGACUGCCGCCGACCGGAAUCUGGCCACAGAGCCUGUUGUAGCUCACAUUCAGAUUAAUAUAAUCAAACUUUGUCAACCCCGCCGGUAAGCUCCCGAAAAUCUGGUUAUGGCUCAAAUCCAAGUUAUGCAUGGUGUCCGAAAACUCAACCUUGGAGAAAUCGAACUUAAACAAGUUCCUCGAGAAGUCGGCGGUGUUCAAAAUCUUCUUUUUCCCGAACAUGAAGGAUAUGUCCCCUUCCAGCUUGUUUCUAGAAACAUCAAACAAGUUGAAGUCCGCACGUCCCAAACUCGCCGGAAUGGGGCCGGAGAGCUGAUUACGGGACAGGUAGAAAUAGAUUUGCUUCGCCUUCAAGUCCCCGAACGAUUCAGGAAUGCCGCCGGUGAGGUUGUUCCGGUCUAACAGCAGGCCGCUGAGCUUCGGCAGCUGAGAGAGCGACGGAGGAAUCGAACCGGUGAGGCCGUUGCGCGACAGUCCGAUGUAGGUGAGCUUUUUGAGGCUUCCAAGGAAAGUGGGACGGGGCCGGUGAGAAGUUCUGCCUGAGAUCGAGGAAGUCGAGCUGCGAGAGCUUGGAAAUGGCUUGUGGGAUAACGCCGGUGGCGUUGCAGUUGUGGAUGGCGAGGUUUUGGAGGUAGGGGAGGUCGCCGACGGCGGCCGGGAUGGGGAGGUGGAGGUUGGCCUUGGAGAGGUCAAAUUGGGUAAUGCGGUUGGUUUUGUCAUCGCAUUUCACGCCGUACCAGUCUUCGCAGCAGUCCGUUUUGGAACUCCAGGUGAUGAUGUCAUACGGGUUUUUCAGGUCUUUCUUGAUUUGGAGGAGGGCUUUUUUGUCAUUUGCGUUGCACCUCUCCGAGAGUGUGAGAGACGAGAGGGAGAGAAUGAGGAGAGCCAAAAUGGGAAGAAUACAAGUCAUUGGUUUGUCCAAUUAUGGAUAUUGGGAU